This is a long non-coding RNA of Passer domesticus (house sparrow), 7167 nucleotides long. RefSeq lists it as uncharacterized. The record is from RefSeq and is a predicted model, not a curated record. The transcript is spliced from 2 exons. Lineage: Eukaryota; Metazoa; Chordata; Aves; Passeriformes; Passeridae.
GAAAAUGCUGCAAAGAAACUAAAGUCAGUAGUCUAGAAACAUUUACAUUUCACUUUUAUGUUGAUAACCACAACAUACCUGCACUUUGUUAUCAAAUGGGUGAUACAAUUUCACUCUUCAUUUGGCUCCAGUCAUGAUAGGAGAGUGAAGGCAGACACCCUGUAGGACUAUCCACAGCUAGGCACCACUCCCCAAGUUUCACACUUCUGAGCACUCCCCUUCCAGGGGAGCACACUGGCUCCCAGCUCUCCACACACUGAGGAACCAGACCUUGCACAAUCCCCAGGAAGCACAAGAAUUCCCUGCAGGCAGUAGUUCAGCAGGAUUUGCUGGAAACAAAUUGUUGAGGUCUAAGGAAGAUGAAGUGGGUGUUGGUUUCUUACCAACAAAGUGUAGGGAAUGGGGAUGUGUCCAUGUAGGGGAAGGAAGUGAGGCAGUGCCAUGGUCUUACAGUGAUUCACAAGUCUGGGAACAGGGAAAUUCAUGGUAUUAAUUUUGUUGUAGCCGUGUCAGCUUGAACCCUGGAGUUCUUCCUCCUGGAAGAACCCAAAGAAAGGCCAUCCCUCUAAGUGAUGGGUUUUCAGAAUGAGAAGAAAAAUUCAGGGUGCAGCAUCCAGGAGUAUUUUGGACCACAUCAGGAAAUAGUUUCAGCACCAAAAUUAUGCUUCUACCUAAUAACAUUUACAAAAAUAUGUCCCUUGCAGAAGUGAAAAAAAAAAAUCUGGCUGCUAAAUGUAAAUACAGAAGGGAACAAGAAGUGGGAAAGUACAUCGUAGAAUAUUUGAAUGUCCCAACUCUUCUGCUUAAGUCUUUGUGAGUGUGCAACAAGACUCUGGAAAGACAUGGUCAAGUUAAAGGAAUAAAUCACUGAUGUAUGCAAAUUCUUUGAUGUAUAUGAAGGGAUAGGUAGUUAAAUUCUUUACUGUGUAAAUUAGUGGGAAGACAGAGAUAAAUUCUCCAGUUUGGAGACAGAAGGGACCCUAAAGUCCAAGACAGCUCAUAUUCCCAGCAGUACAGCUCCACAGAGAAUGCCUCAACAUGUCUGAGGCAUGUACACUGUACAUUCACUGCACACUGGUUCUUUCAAAGAAAUUUCCCAUGAAUCACUGUCAAAGUUGAUGGCAGGCAGGCUGCUGAGAUUAGAAUUUUAGGAUAGAUUAAUGCCAGAGGCACAUUUAGAGUGAAAAUGGCUGAAAUCUCACAAGUUCUUCCAUUUAUUCAUUUAUUUAUUGCCACUCAUCAAGAACAGAGAUCUUCAAUAAUAGCUGAAUUCACAAAAUCUAACAAUUUUCAGAUACAUAUAAACUGAGUAAGAAUAAUAAAACUUACUGAGUUUUGAAUCAAAUUCAAGAUAAAAAUAAAAGAAAAAGAGCAGAUGCACAGAUCUUAACCCUUAGCACAAUUUUCUCUUAAAAAUGGCUAUGCUGGAGAAGAGCAGAAAUGCAGAUGUAAAUACUCCAUACUCCUAAAAUUGCCUGGGUUUCACUCUGAGCUGUACAGAACACACCUGACUGCCACUUUAGGCGUUACCAUCAAAAUGCAACUUGAGACAGUUGAAAAACCUCAAAAAUAUUGUGGUUUUUCUCAAAAUGAACCUAAAAAUGCAUAAUCCAUAUGAUACUUUAGUUAAUUUUCUCUCUUUUCCCUAUGCUUUGCCACAGCUGAUGCAGAGCUGUUAAUCAGAUGACUGAUCUCCUUCUGUGGGGCCAGGGGAAAGCCAGAGCAGUUACCAUGCACCAGUUAUGGGUAGCUGCAUCCAAGUGCAUCAGCAUGAUAAAAACAAGAAAGAAGAAGUUGCAGUUUUCACUCGUUCUUCCCCUCUAAAACUGUGAAACAAUCCAUAUUUAAAUUUACACGAGUCCUAAAUUGUCUGUAGGUCUUCAUUUUCACUUCACAGAUUGGUUUUGAUUACUGACCAGGUAACACAAAUGUAGCAAGAAAUAUUAUUGAAGUGAUAUUAGAAUGCCACCCACAGCUUUUAAAUAAAACUCCUCAAAAGGUCAUUUCAACCCAAGUAUUUUUCAUUACUCAGCUGGACUGGGUGACCUGAGGGAUAAAGCCAGAAAUGUCUUUGGAACCUGUGGCUCUUGCUCACUGGGUGACUACCAGACUGUUCCUCCAAGCAUUUUGGGGCUUCUGCCAAUGCAUGAUGGCCACACUGCUUGGUCUUCCCAAAAGGCAUUUGGCCACAUCAGCUCCCAGGGAUGGGCAGGGAUCCCUCUCCAGCUGCACCCAUGGGCACUGGCUGUGUUUGGUGGCCCUGCUGUGUGAAGGGGCAGGUGGGCCCAUGGGGUCCCUGACCUGCCCUCCAGCUGAGGAUGGGAAGCUUCUCUGUCUCCUUAGCAUGGCCAUGUUCCUCUCUGGGAACCUGGCACCACUCAGAAAGCAGCUGUGAGUACAAACCCCCCAGCACAGCCUUUUGUGGCUCUGCCAGCAGAACAGGCCACAGAAACAUGAGGAGUAGCAACACUGCACACCCCCAGUAGUUUCCUUUUUUUUUUUUCCUCCUAUAAAGCCAACGCAAAACUUUAUACAAGCAACAUUUUGCUUGAGGGCUGCAAGUGCCCUGGGGUGCAAGCAGCUGCAGCCCCCUUGUACCACUUCAGCACCCAAAUUGUGUGUAACAGAUGCUGAGGGCUGUGUGAGAGCCCUGACAGCCUCCUUGCAAUGCUCCAGAGCAAAACUCCCAGAAAUGGACCAGCACAGUUCUCAAAAAUCACUGUUCCCAGUCUGGGCCUGGAGAUCCCUUUUUCAUGCUUGGGGACAAGUUUUGGUCACCAGGAUCAUCACUGCUCUGCUCCCAGGUGUUAUGGUGGGAAGCUGAGUGCUCCGUGCCAUGGCCUGGCUGUGCCAUUUCUCAGCCUGUGCUGGGGUGUGUGAUAGAAACUCCUACUGAGGAUUUUUUUCCCCUUUUCAUCUAACCACACUCAUCUGUUCAGUGGCCCAGCAGUUUUCUUCUGCACUAAUUAUAUUUCAUUCCCUGUCUGAGAGAAAGACUUGACUUUGUGACAUUAAUAAAACAUCACAACAAAUUAUUAAAGGAAAGAUCAAAAUCAGGUAAAGAACAGAGGAAACAAGUACUUUCUGUUAAAAAGUGAUUGCUGACCACUGAAUUAUUAGUGUUGCUACCCAGUCUGAUCUUGCUCUCCCUUUCAUCUCUAUGUUUUGGGGCUAUUUCAGCAGACUUUGGCUAUGAAGCAGGCAUGGGAAAGCAGAGAGAUACAGCAGGAACUGCUUGUGGUUAAGUCCCUGGGCACUUUCCUUGCUCAUGGACUGGGAGGGGGACAGGGUUUUCUUUGUGUGAUCCCCAUGUGCCGAUGGCAAAACACACCCAACAGCAACCUCAAACCCUUGGCCAUUCCACAGAUUAAAUCACAUUUUGUCCUCUUCACCAGUCAAAUUCGGUGCUCCUGCAGGUGUUGAGCAGUGACUGGAAGAUGUCCUUUGUGUGUAUCCCCAGAUUUUCACAGAGCAGCAUUAAGGAUCAGAUGGUGACUCUGAUGGGUUUGUCACUGAGAGAAGCCCCACAGCCUAUCUUCUCCAAGCCCCUGCCUCACUCCUGCUUUCCUAAUCCUGCUCUGCAUCUCGCAAUGCAGAUAAAUUAAUGACUCGAGCACUGCUUCCUUAGUUUUUUCUUUCCUGCUUGUCUCACUCAGGAUUUUCAGUUAGAUCUGCAGAUCUGGAAAUUAUUUUUAAUUAUGAAAAGCAAAGCCAAAAAAGUCUGCUUCUAACAAGGCUUUGAACUGACUCCUUCACACAGAGUUUAUGCCACCCCAAGAGUUCAAGGGAAAAUAGAGAAGAAAACAUCAAAAAUGAAGUGUAUCCCACCACAGAGUUUGAUACUCUAAGUGUAUCAAACUGAGGGCAUACCAGCUGCAAAGAACAGCAGGUAGAAAUGAUGCUGUUACUCACCACAGGCGAGGGUCAGCGAGAUGAGCUGCCGGGCGCUCCUCCCCAUGGCCAGCACGGCUGCGGGCUCUCCUGAGCGGCGCUGCUUCCCCCGGGAGCCCGAGCUUUCCUAACUCUGAAAAGUUUCACUCGGUGCACGGAGUGCUCAGUCACAUGGCUGGGAAGGAGGUGGAGAGAGGGGCAGAGCGAUGCCUCUCGCCUGUAAACUCACGCAGAAGGAAAUAAAUGAUGGUUAGGAAAGAAAGUGAAAAGAGAAAUGACUGCUGGGCUGACUGGGAGGAGAGCUGGGGCUCUGCAAGGCCAGGGAAAGCUUCGUGCAUCUCCCUCAUGUCUGAGAAACUGGUGCCCAGUGCCCCCGCACAGGUUACAGCCUGUAAAUCAGUGCCUCCCCUGUGUUCUUUAGAAAAUACUCUAUUUAAGGCCAAACUCCAUAUUUUUUGUUAAAGCACAGAAGGGAGAUGUGUAACCAUCUCCACAGAGCACCUGCUGAAAGUAAGACAGGGCUGAGCAGAGCCCCAGAUGGGCUCUUGCCCCAUGGAGACCAUCCUUUGCUGUCUGGCCCCGUGCUGCUCCCAGGCGUGCUUCAGCCAAGGUGGAUGGACAGGGGGUCACUGUUAGUGCUGCAUCCAAACACCCCUGUCAGAUAAAGGGCUCCUCUGGCACUCAGAGGGCUCCUCUGGCACUCAAAGGGCUCCUCUGACACUCAGAGGGCUCCUGCACAGCUCCCCAGGCCAGGGCAGGAGCUGUGUGGGCACAGGGGAUGAGCAGCAGGACAGCAUCCCUCACUCCUGCCCUGGGCAUCUGCCAGGGGUCUGCUUGGGGCAGGGAACAAAGCAGCCCCCACGCUGGCCUCUGGUGUGCUCCUAAUUCUUCUUUCCCUCAUAGCAAUAUCAACUGCAGGAACAUGGUGGCAUCAAGGACUUGAAGAGUCAGGUGAGGUGAAGUUUGCCCCCAGAAAUCUGGAUACUGCAUGAAAUCAGCUCCAGUUUAUCUUGCUCUAUUUGCAUUGUGUUUCUACAUUCUAAUUUUUACCUGCUUGCCUUUCUGCAUGAUCCACAAUUUGUAUUUGGGCCAAUUAGCAUUCCCUAAUGAACACUGGUAGCCAAAGGCAUGCAGAUAUCUCAGGAGUAACUAUUAUAAAGUCAUCUACGACUUCCACUGAGCUGUCUGUGUGAACCUUUGCACUCCCCUAAGAGUCCCAGUGAUUCAAAACAUGACUAAGGGAGGUGGGUAAAGGAAAAAAACCCUAUUCUGCCUUUUGACACGUGUGUUGGACAAAUUCAGCUUAUAUUGGACAAAUGUGCCAAUUUUUUCAUCUCUGAUAAUGUGCCUUUGCUGAUAAUUCAUUUAUUUCAGAUAGAAAAAAAAAUCUCAUUUUUCUUGUUGCUUCACAUAAAGACAUCAACCACAGGGUUUUGUACUAGUUAUUAAUUUUAUAAAUUUCAAACAAAGUGUGGUUCUACACAGGUCAUAAUGGCCUAAUUACAGGAAGUUCAUUUGCACACUUUUUUCUUGUAAUAAAUUCAUACAUUCUGUAUUGACUGGAAAAAAGGACAGGUAAUUCUGUGCUCUUUCCCUGUCUGAUUAUCUCUCAUCAGUCACAAUAUACAAAUACAUCAUUAUCAACACCAUGGAAAUCAUGUAAGAAAACAAACUGUACCAAUUCUCAGCUGGGGAGAGGAAAUCUUAGCAGCUAUUUCAGUCCAGCUGCAAGAAGAAAUACACAUUUUGGAUAUUUUUUUCUUAUUAUUCUUAUAUAUUUCUAAUCACAUAUAUAUAUAUAUUUGAAGUCUUUGAGUACUUUUGGAGAGGAAGCACAUGGCCUUUCUCAAUCCUGUUUACCCAAUCCUGUUUGACAUAUCAAGACUCUAAGAAAAUCAUAGAUAAUAAAAUGGCUUCUCAUCACACACACAUGACCAGAACAGGACACACACAGAGCUUUGCUGUCACUGGCGAGGAAAGCCAGAGCUCAGAUGUGGUUUGGCUGCAGCUGUUUGUGUUCAAGACAAGCAGCACUGGUCUGGUUCUCCACCUGGUGGGGUUCCAGGUGAGAGAGAGGAUCAGGCUGAUUCUAUUUUAGCCUGGUUUACUAAAAGCAGGAUUCGUGUGUCUCUGCAGCCCACCCACACCUGAGUGAGCACCUCUGAGGGCAGUUUUGAGCAUGUGAAGUUUCUGAAGUUUCGCAGAAGAGCAGCAGGGCAGAGAGAGGAGAGCCCAGGCAAGCCCUCAGCUGGAGGGCAGGGGUGACCAGCCCAGGCUCAGGGCCAGCAGCAAGGGCUGCUGCAGCACAGAUUUACCUGGGAUCUGGUGUCUUCUACAGCCAAGUUUUAGUCACAACCAUUACUUUUAAUUGACUUCUAAAUGGUCACUAUAGCAUCUUCAAACAACACUGAAAUGAAAUCCUUAUUUGAAAGCUAUGAUUUUUAGGUCCAUCUACCUGAAUAGGAUGGUGUCAAAGACCUACAGACAGAAUAAGCAUACCCUAACAGACACAUUAGUGUUGCUGGACUUUACCAAAUCAUCUUCUAGACUGUACAUGGAAAGUCAUUCCCUUAAUUAUCACUUUGCUUGACAGAAAUACACUAAUUAAAAGACUGUCCUGCAUACUAUUUAAAAAACUCAAAAAGUCAUCAAACUCCAUUUUGUCUCAUCAGCAAAGCCAGAAGGCUGCUCCUUUGUCUUUCCAUCCAUCAGCAAUGUCACAAAUCUUCAAUUUGGCAGUUUCAUACACUCAGGGUAACCCUUCCCUCUCUCUCUCCCACACACAAAAGCUUACAAUUCUCACUAAUGUGCAAUCAAAGCUCCCUAGCCCUUCCCUCUCCUGUGCUUAGGGCAGGGGUAGACAGCAGCACUGUUCCUGUGCAAAAAUUACUGAAAGUAAUACAGAAACCAGAAGGAACUCAUUUUAGAGAGAGGAUAAAGUAAUUGCACUAUAAGAAAAUGUCGCUGCAUAUUUCCUUAGGGGACUGAAAGGAAUCAAUUCUUCCUGCAAGAUGCUGAUAACCACAGUAGACCAAGAGGAUUCAUGUUCCUGAGAGCCUACAUGUCAGUUUUGAGGUAAAUGACCAAUACAAACAGGCAAGCUCCUACCUCUAUCGAACAAAAAAAAUCUUCCAGAAAGGUUCUUUAGUCAUGAACAGAAAAUGUAAAAAAUCACAGAGUUUAGAUAUGGAGGGUUAGAAGAGCCAUGGGAUUCAAUCACCACUGUGCAACUUAUAAUCAAGCAACAAAUCUUCACAAGCAAAAAAAAAAUAAAAA